AGUUCCUGGAGGGGCUGCUGGAGGCCCUUGUACAUAUGUGCAGAGGAAACGCUUGCGUCUGAGGAAGCUCCUGUGGGGCGCCUCACUCCCACUCUCCCCACUCCUCAGACCUUGGGCAUGGAAAGUCGGAAUCCCUGGGACCAGAAUGCAACCCUCGUGAGGACGGGGACUUGGCUGUUUUUCUCACUGCUACACCCUGGGUCAACAGUCUUGGGAUACAGUAGCUGGUCAAUAAAUAUUUGAUGACUGACUCCA
Molecule: long non-coding RNA, 255 nt
Organism: Homo sapiens (human)
Lineage: Eukaryota; Metazoa; Chordata; Mammalia; Primates; Hominidae
Exons: 2
Source: RefSeq, a predicted model, not a curated record